GGCACGUUUCCUUAGAUCUGCCUCUGUGGUGCUUACCUAGACUGAGUUCUGCUCAUCCUUUUGAGGUGAAUAGUUCCAGGUAGGGAGGCAUGCAGCAACUUGUAUGGUUGUACAGUCAGAGGUACUUGAGUCAUUGGCGUGCAAGAGCAACAUACCUGCUUUUUAGCCUCUUGUGUUCUGUUGGAAUUCUGGUUUGUCUUGAGGCAAACUGGUCAUCCACCUUCAGGACCAGGCUGGAGUGCAGACAGA
This is a small nucleolar RNA of Erpetoichthys calabaricus (reedfish), 249 nucleotides long. Ensembl annotates it as small nucleolar RNA SNORA53. Its record names the gene SNORA53. Lineage: Eukaryota; Metazoa; Chordata; Cladistia; Polypteriformes; Polypteridae. The record is from Ensembl.